AUUGAACGCUGGCGGCAGGCCUAACACAUGCAAGUCGAACGGUAACAGGAAGCAGCUUGCUUCUUGCUGACGAGUGGCGGACGGGUGAGUAAUGUCUGGGAAACUGCCUGAUGGAGGGGGAUAACUACUGGAAACGGUAGCUAAUACCGCAUAACGUCGCAAGACCAAAGAGGGGGACCUUCGGGCCUCUUGCCAUCGGAUGUGCCCAGAUGGGAUUAGCUGUGGUGGGGUAACGGCUCACCAGGCGACGAUCCCUAGCUGGUCUGAGAGGAUGACCAGCCACACUGGAACUGAGACACGGUCCAGACUCCUACGGGAGGCAGCAGUGGGGAAUAUUGCACAAUGGGCGCAAGCCUGAUGCAGCCAUGCCGCGUGUAUGAAGAAGGCCUUCGGGUUGUAAAGUACUUUCAGCGGGGAGGAAGGGAGUAAAGUUAAUACCUUUGCUCAUUGACGUUACCCGCAGAAGAAGCACCGGCUAACUCCGUGCCAGCAGCCGCGGUAAUACGGAGGGUGCAAGCGUUAAUCGGAAUUACUGGGCGUAAAGCGCACGCAGGCGGUUUGUUAAGUCAGAUGUGAAAUCCCCGGGCUCAACCUGGGAACUGCAUCUGAUACUGGCAAGCUUGAGUCUCGUAGAGGGGGGUAGAAUUCCAGGUGUAGCGGUGAAAUGCGUAGAGAUCUGGAGGAAUACCGGUGGCGAAGGCGGCCCCCUGACGAAGACU
RNAcentral lists this ribosomal RNA (719 nucleotides) under Shigella sp. RNAcentral describes it as "bacterial SSU rRNA". It matches the Rfam family "Bacterial small subunit ribosomal RNA", at positions 28 to 741 of the family's 1533-position model. Lineage: Bacteria; Pseudomonadati; Pseudomonadota; Gammaproteobacteria; Enterobacterales; Enterobacteriaceae. The record is from RNAcentral.